RNAcentral lists this ribosomal RNA (471 nucleotides) under uncultured bacterium. Its description in RNAcentral is "bacterial SSU rRNA". It matches the Rfam family "Bacterial small subunit ribosomal RNA", at positions 28 to 508 of the family's 1533-position model. The record is from RNAcentral.
GACGAACGCUGGCGGCGUGCUUAACACAUGCAAGUCGAACGCUGAAGCACCAGCUUGCUGGUGUGGAUGAGUGGCGAACGGGUGAGUAAUACGUGAGUAACCUGCCCUUGACUCUGGGAUAAGCCCGGGAAACUGGGUCUAAUACUGGAUGCUACAUGUCACCGCAUGGUGGUGUGUGGAAAGGGUUUACUGGUCUUGGAUGGGCUCACGGCCUAUCAGCUUGUUGGUGAGGUAAUGGCUCACCAAGGCGACGACGGGUAGCCGGCCUGAGAGGGUGACCGGCCACACUGGGACUGAGACACGGCCCAGACUCCUACGGGAGGCAGCAGUGGGGAAUAUUGCACAAUGGGCGAAAGCCUGAUGCAGCGACGCCGCGUGAGGGAUGACGGCCUUCGGGUUGUAAACCUCUUUCAGCAGGGAAGAAGCCACAAGUGACGGUACCUGCAGAAGAAGCGCCGGCGAACUACGUGC